GUGAAGGAUGAAGGUCUUCGGAUUGUAAACUUCUUUAUUAAGGACGAAGAAAGUGACGGUACUUAAUGAAUAAGCUCCGGCUAACUACGUGCCAGCAGCCGCGGUAAUACGUAGGGAGCAAGCGUUGUCCGGAUUUACUGGGUGUAAAGGGUGCGUAGGCGGCUUUGCAAGUCAGAUGUGAAAUCUAUGGGCUCAACCCAUAGCCUGCAUUUGAAACUGCAGAGCUUGAGUGAAGUAGAGGCAGGCGGAAUUCCCCGUGUAGCGGUGAAAUGCGUAGAGAUGGGGAGGAACACCAGUGGCGAAGGCGGCCUGCUGGGCUUUAACUGACGCUGAGGCACGAAAGCGUGGGUAGCAAACAGGAUUAGAUACCCUGGUAGUCCACGCUGUAAACGAUGAUUACUAGGUGUGGGGGGUCUGACCCCUUCCGUGCCGGAGUUAACACAAUAAGUAAUCCACCUGGGGAGUACGGCCGCAAGGUUGCAACUCAAAUGAAU
This 494-nucleotide ribosomal RNA is filed under the name uncultured organism. Its description in RNAcentral is "bacterial SSU rRNA". It matches the Rfam family "Bacterial small subunit ribosomal RNA", at positions 401 to 910 of the family's 1533-position model. The record is from RNAcentral.